GGUUGCGGGGCGUGUGCCGUGCACUGAACCCCUGUGUGGAAGGGGAUUCGGUCCUGGGGGGCGUGGAUGGUGGAUGGCGGUUGCGGGGCCUGUGCCGUGCACUGAACCCCUAUGUGGAAGGGGAUUCGGUCCUGGGGGCCGUGGAUGGCGGUUGCGGGGCCUCUGUGCUCAGGGCAGUCCCUCCAAAGGCACAGAUGGGGUUUCUGAACAGGACGUGGGGAGACAGGCAGGUGCUCACAAAUGCUGCUUCCCCCAACUGGCAACCAGUGAGAAAAACGCCUGAGUGGAGGUCUGACCUGCCCCAGUCUGGAGGACUGAUGCUCUCUGGAAAGCCAAAUGGGAACAGGCAGGCAGGAG
RNAcentral lists this long non-coding RNA (357 nucleotides) under Pan troglodytes (chimpanzee). RNAcentral describes it as "long non-coding RNA NONPTRT017715". Lineage: Eukaryota; Metazoa; Chordata; Mammalia; Primates; Hominidae. The record is from RNAcentral.